Non-coding RNA from Chlorocebus sabaeus (green monkey), 1588 nucleotides. NCBI's taxonomy places the organism in Eukaryota, Metazoa, Chordata, Mammalia, Primates, Cercopithecidae. The record is from RefSeq and is a predicted model, not a curated record.
CUGCCCGGAGGUGCGCUUGGGGUCCAGAUUGGCCGAUGAAUAUGUAUAUCCGCAGCGCCUCCUUCACUCCGAAGACUUUCACUUUCCCCCUUGCACAAAACCGAACAUCCCACCCCACCCCCACCUCCAAGCUAAAAUACCUGGGCCGCCCCUCCCCACGAAGGGACGCCCUCCAGGCGAAUGGGGAGGGCCCGGAAGUCGGGCCUGAGACAGGGGAGCCGGCCCACCGCCUCCCGGUCGGAAGCGGCAGUGCAGGUGAGGCCGCGGCCAGCCUGGGGACUGCGCGGGUAAGGAGCGGGAGGGCCGACUGCACCGCGAAGUUGGCGGGGGACGGCCGCGCACGCCUCGCCUCGGCCUUCCUGCCCCGUAGGGGCUGGCCGCCCUCCCGCCACCCCUGGGCACCUGCCGACCACGUCUGGGCGGGGGCGGGCCGGCUCCGGCCCUCGGGCCCUCACCCCACCCCGGCCAGCCGCGGCGGGGACGUCGGGUCAGCGAAGGGUUAAGGGACUUGCUCCCUUCUCUCGGCUCCCUCACCCUUGGAAAGUCCCCGAAAUGACGUUUCAACCCGACAAUUUAAAAAAGAGUUUAAUUAUAGAGACAGGCUCUGGGAGCUGGAACAAACUCUCGGUCGGCGGGGCCGGUAAACAACUCGGGAGCGAGCGGGCUAGGCCAGCCGCAGCCUUGCGGAGCCCGCGCCCCUAGGGAGAGGGGGAGGGGAGGGCCGCCGGGAGUUGGAAAAGCCGAGGAAAUUCGAGGAAUCAGCUUUCUUUGGAAAAACCCACUUUGUAGCCAUUCUGGGGCGCCUGAUGGUGCUCCUGGCGGGUCCUGCAGCCUUGUAGCGAAAGCGGCGCCGCCCGAAGCAGGGGCACAGCCGGUGCCCCGCGGGGACAGGCCCUGGGCCGGGAAGGGGCCCCGCCCGCUCCCAGUCCCCUUCCCCUUUGCUUUUUUCCAGCCCCUCCUCCGGUCCCCCAAGCUGAGCUUCGCGAACCCUCGGGAGUUAAAGACCCGCCGGCCCUUUCUUUUUGGGGGGUGGGGGAGCGGGAAUGGGUGGAGGCCAGGGGAAUAAAAAACCGAAAUAGCUUCACAUCAGAACUCAGACUAACCUUGUGGUUUCAACGCGCACCCUGCUCUGUCCUGAAAUCUGGAACUCAUUACCUCAUCACCAAGAAACUGCACGAAAUCUUCCCCCCCGCCCCAACACCCACUUCGGCUGGGAAAAGAACGAGCAAACAUCCCUGUAAGAAAGAAACCUACACUUGAAUGAUUUAAAUUAAGGUGGAUGGAAGUUAUUUCCCUUUCUGGCGCUUGCCAGAUUUCAAGAAAAGCGGAAAAAUGGGAGCAGGGGGAGGGAAGCAACAGGCGGCUGCAGGGCAGCAGCCGGGUUAAAGUGGGGGCCGUCCAUUUCAGGCAGAGGAGACGAACGAAAGCCGACGCCGCUGGGAUCACGUAGGUUCGUGGCUGUAGCAAACGUUGUGUUUCGCAAAGCUGAAAAACAACCGGUUUCUCAAACAGUUGUGAUUUGGAAGGUUUCGCUGGGUUUGCCCAGAUGUUGAUGAAUAAAUAAGAAAUGCAUUAAAAAAAAAAAAAA